This 279-nucleotide unclassified non-coding RNA is filed under the name Hevea brasiliensis (rubber tree). Lineage: Eukaryota; Viridiplantae; Streptophyta; Magnoliopsida; Malpighiales; Euphorbiaceae. The record is from RNAcentral.
GGAAGAGGAAGUUAUAAGAUUCAGAGAUGAUCGAUAGAGUAUUCUCCGUCGACGGAAUCUCCGAUCACUUCUGGACGUCGCCGGAGGAAUCGUCGAAGUUGAACCGGAGCGCAUCCGAAUGGUCCUUUCGGAGAUUUCUUCAAGAAGCUGCCUCCGUAUCGGAUUCCUCCAUUUCUCCGCCUCCGGCUUCGCCUUCCGCGGCGGAAAUUCGAUCUAACGCCGUCGAGAUUCGGGAGAAACAGAGUAAUCAGAACGUUGGAGUUAUGAAGGAAAGGGAAA